CUUGUAUAAGCCUUCUCCCAUGGGGGCAUCUUGAUAAAUCAAAGAAGCAACAGAAAAUACUCCCGCAGUGCUUGCUUUUUUAAGUAGGAUUAUGUGAAAGUACCUCAGAAUCACUUCCAUCCCCUCACAUUGACAAUCUUCCAGUUAAUGAGAAAAUGGAUUUUCUUCUCCCAAAGUAUUGGGUUUGAGAAUCUUCUGCUCUGCAUUAACUAAUUCUUCACAAAUGUUUUUAAUACUUAAGGUCCAGAUAUUUGCUAUUUAUAAAAACACAGAUACAACUGAUUGACCUCCUUAUUUUAAGCUUCUUCCUCCAGACACCACUAACUUCUCAGCUCCCUUGCAUGCUUAAAACCUAUUUCAAAAGAGAAUCAUGCAAACUCCCCAAACAACUGUUCCAUGUUAGUCAUCCUUAAUACUCAUCCAAUCUUUUUUUUUUUUUUUUUUUGGUUCACCAGUAUCAAAGCUUAUGAUUCCUAAAAAGUUUGGCAAUUUUUAAAGGACAGAGAGAGAACUCUACUGGAAAUGCCAUGCCUUUCCCUUCACACCCCUUCUUUUUAACAUCAGGCCAUGUUAUAUACCUCCUGCCAGGACCAGAUCAAAUCUCAUUUCCAACCUGCCAUAACAGUAUUAACAGUUCUUCCUUCCAUACUUCCAAACUUUGUGUUCAUACUACUAUCAGAGGACUAAUAAAAUGAUUACAGUAAGUUGUUUAUAUUCCAGAUAAUGAAGUCUAUGAAGACAGAAAACAUAAUUUAUUCAUUUUUAUAUGUCCAAAAUGUACCUAAUUCAGGGGCAGUUACUAAAUAAAAUUUUUGAGUAAUUUGAUCAAUGUGACUCAAAAUCUUUAGCAGUAAUUUUAAGGAACAUAUUACAACAUAGUCUUUGAAACAACGAGAAAGAAAAAAUCUCUAUUUAAGUAGUAAAAAUUCAAAAUGGAGUAUGAAGCCAAGUAAAAAAUUUAAAUUGCAGAAACUAAUAUUUUUCUUUUCUCAUUCAUUUCCCAUGGUUUCUUAAUUCUCUUCCAUUAAACACCUUUUAGGGAAAUUUAUAUUUAUGAAUGGUCAAGGCUGUAUAUUGUCACCCUGCUUAUUUAACUUAUAUGC
Molecule: long non-coding RNA, 1103 nt
Filed under: Capra hircus (goat)
Lineage: Eukaryota; Metazoa; Chordata; Mammalia; Artiodactyla; Bovidae
Description: lncRNA (ENSCHIG00010019624.1)
Source: RNAcentral